GUUUGGUUAAGUUAGAAAGGGCGCACGGUGGAUGCCUUGACACUAGGAGUCGAUGAAGGACGGGACUAACGCCGAUAUGCUUCGGGGAGCUGUAAGUAAGCUUUGAUCCGAAGAUUUCCGAAUGGGGAAACCCACCAUACGUAAUGGUAUGGUAUCCUUACCUGAAUACAUAGGGUAAGGAAGACAGACCCAGGGAACUGAAACAUCUAAGUACCUGGAGGAAGAGAAAGCAAAUGCGAUUUCCUGAGUAGCGGCGAGCGAAACGGAACAUAGCCCAAACCAAGAGGCUUGCCUCUUGGGGUUGUAGGACAUUCUAUACGGAGUUACAAAGGAA
This 334-nucleotide ribosomal RNA is filed under the name Bacillus sp. HY001. Its description in RNAcentral is "partial 23S ribosomal RNA". It matches the Rfam family "Bacterial large subunit ribosomal RNA", at positions 1 to 337 of the family's 2925-position model. Lineage: Bacteria; Bacillati; Bacillota; Bacilli; Caryophanales; Bacillaceae. The record is from RNAcentral.